GAAAUGCGAUAAGUAGUGUGAAUUGCAGAAUUCAGUGAAUCAUCGAAUCUUUGAACGCACAUUGCGCCCCUUGGUAUUCCAUGGGGCAUGCCUGUUCGAGCGUCAUUUGUACCCUCAAGCUCUGCUUGGUGUUGGGUGUUUGUCCCGUCUCCGCGCGUGGACUCGCCCCAAAGUGAUUGGCAGCCGGCGUACUGGUCCCGGAGCGCAGUACAUGUCGCGCAAACGAGUGCCUUGGUACGGCGGCGUCCAUAAGCCCCUCUCUCACGCUCUUGACCUCGGAUCAGGUAGGGAUACCCGCUGAACUUAAGC
This 309-nucleotide unclassified non-coding RNA is filed under the name plant metagenome. RNAcentral's name for it is "partial contains 5.8S ribosomal RNA, internal transcribed spacer 2, and large subunit ribosomal RNA". The stretch from base 1 to 105 matches the Rfam family "5.8S ribosomal RNA", at positions 50 to 154 of the family's 154-position model. The record is from RNAcentral.